ACACAUGCAGUCGCACGAGAAAGGGGGCACCCCGGUACAGUGGCGCACGGGUGAGUAACACGUGGAUUACCUGCCCCGGAGUGGUGGAUAACCUGCCGAAAGGUGGGCUAAUACAGCAUAAGACCACGAGGUUUCGACCUUGGGGUCAAAGCAGGCCUCUAUUCAUAAGCUUGCGCUCUGGGAUGGGUCCGCGGCCCAUCAGCUAGUUGGUAGGGUAACGGCCUACCAAGGCAACGACGGGUAGCUGGUCUGAGAGGAUGAUCAGCCACACUGGAACUGAGACACGGUCCAGACUCCUACGGGAGGCAGCAGUGGGGAACUUGCGGCCAAUGGGCGAAAGCCUGAAGCAAGAAGGCCGCGUGGGUUGGAAAGAAAGGGCUUUCCCGGGUUGGUAAAGCCCCUGGUGGGGGAAGGAACGAACCGGUUCAUGGCUAACAUCCAUGGGUCUUGACGGUACCUCUUUAGCAAGCAUCGGCUAACUCUGUGCCAGCAGCCGCGGUAAGACAGAGGAUGCAAACGUUGUUCGGAUUCAUUGGGCGUCAAAAGGGUGCGUAGGUGGCGCGCUAAGUCAGGUGUGAAAUCUCGGGGCUUAACUCCGAAACUGCAUUUGAUACUGGCGUGCUUGAGGACUGGAGAGGAGACUUGGAAUUCAUGGUGUAGCAGUGAAAUGC
RNAcentral lists this ribosomal RNA (671 nucleotides) under uncultured bacterium. Its description in RNAcentral is "bacterial SSU rRNA". It matches the Rfam family "Bacterial small subunit ribosomal RNA", at positions 51 to 689 of the family's 1533-position model. The record is from RNAcentral.